Molecule: ribosomal RNA, 253 nt
Filed under: uncultured bacterium
Lineage: Bacteria
Description: partial 16S ribosomal RNA
Rfam family: Bacterial small subunit ribosomal RNA
Source: RNAcentral
UACGUAGGUGGCGAGCGUUGUCCGGAUUUACUGGGCGUAAAGAGCGCGCAGGCGGUCGUACAAGUCGCGUGUGAAAGCCCCCGGCUCAACUGGGGAGGGUCACGCGAUACUGUUCGACUCGAAGGCAGGAGAGGGAAGCGGAAUUCCCGGUGUAGUGGUGAAAUGCGUAGAUAUCGGGAGGAACACCAGUGGCGAAGGCGGCUCACUGGACCGGAACUGACGCUGAGGCGCGAAAGCGUGGGGAGCAAACGGG